AGAUUGAACGCUGGCGGCAUGCCUAACACAUGCAAGUCGAACGGGAGUAGCAAUACUCUAGUGGCGGACGGGUGAGGAAUACGUAGGAAUUUGCCCUUAAGUGGGGGAUAACCCGGGAAACCCGGAUUAAGUACCGCACUGACCUCGAAAGAGCAAAGUGGGGAUCGCAAGACCUCACGCUUUUGGAGAAGCCUACGAUCGGAUUAGCUAGUUGGUGAGGUAAUGGCUCACCAAGGCGACGAUCCCGGUAACUGGGUCCUAGAGACGGAUGAUCAGUCACACCGGAACUGAGACACGGUCCGACUCCUACGGGAGGCAGCGAGUCGGGGAAUAGUUGGGACAAGUGGGCGCGAAGCCUGAUCCGAGUCAAUGCCGCGUGUGUGAAGAGGCCGUUCGGUUGUAAAGCG
Molecule: ribosomal RNA, 407 nt
Filed under: uncultured soil bacterium
Lineage: Bacteria
Description: bacterial SSU rRNA
Rfam family: Bacterial small subunit ribosomal RNA
Source: RNAcentral